Molecule: ribosomal RNA, 343 nt
Filed under: uncultured fungus
Lineage: Eukaryota; Fungi
Description: bacterial SSU rRNA
Rfam family: Eukaryotic small subunit ribosomal RNA
Source: RNAcentral
AUGCUUGUCUCAAAGAUUAAGCCAUGCAUGUCUAAGUAUAAACACCUUUGUACUGUGAAACUGCGAAUGGCUCAUUAAAUCAGUUAUAGUUUAUUUGAUGGUGCUUACUACAUGGAUAACCGUGGUAAUUCUAGAGCUAAUACAUGCGCAAAAGACCCGACUGUUUGGGAGGGUUGUAUUUAUUAGAUAAAAAACCAGUCGGCUUCGGCUGUUCUCGGUGACUCAUAAUAACUGUGCGAAUCGCAUGGCCUUGUGCCGGCGAUGAAUCAUUCAAAUUUCUGCCCUAUCAACUUUCGAUGGUAAGGUAUUGGCUUACCAUGGUUGCAACGGGUAACGGGGAAUA